This 24-nucleotide non-coding RNA is filed under the name Rattus norvegicus (Norway rat). The record is from RNAcentral. Lineage: Eukaryota; Metazoa; Chordata; Mammalia; Rodentia; Muridae.
UGGGUGGAUUCUGUCCUGUUUUGU